GGCGUGCUUAACACAUGCAAGUCGAACGGACCUUGAAGAAAGAAGCUUUCGGGUGGAUUUUUUCGCUGGUUAGUGGCAGACGGGUGAGUAAUGCAUAAGUAACUUACACUUAAGUCUGGGAUAACCCCUGAAAAGAGAGCUAAUACCGGAUACACUCUUUUUUUCAUAAGUAAGAGAGAGGAAAGGUUUACUGCUUAAGGAUAGGCUUAUGUCUGAUUAGCUUGUUGGUGAGGUAAUGGCUUACCAAGGCGAUGAUCAGUAGCUGGUUUGAGAGGAUGAUCAGCCACACUGGGACUGAGACACGGCCCAGACUCCUACGGGAGGCAGCAGUGGGGAAUAUUGCGCAAUGGGGGCAACCCUGACGCAGCGACGCCGCGUGAGUGACGAAGUCUUUCGGGAUGUAAAGCUCUGUCGAGAGGGAAGAUAAUGACGGUACCUCUAAAGGAAGCCCCGGCUAAUUACGUGCCAGCAGCCGCGGUAAUACGUAAGGGGCAAGCGUUACCCGGAUUUAUUGGGCAUAAAGGGCAAGUAGGCGGUACUAUUAGUCAGAUGUUAAAUACCCAAGCUCAACUUGGGCCCGCAUUUGAAACUGUAGUACUAGAGGUCAGGAGAGGGAAGCGGAACACACAGUGUAGCGGUGAAAUGCGUAGAUAUUGUGUGGAACACCUGUUGCGAAGGCGGCUUCCUGGACUGAUUCUGACGCUGAGGUGCGAAAGCGUGGGGAGCGAACGGGAUUAGAUACCCCGGUAGUCCACGCCGUAAACUUUGUUCACUAGGUGUAGGAGGUAUCGACCCCUUCUGUGCCAAAGAUAAUUCGUUAAGUGAACCGCCUGGGGAGUACGACCGCAAGGUUAAAACUCAAAGGAAUUGACGGGGGCCCGCACAAGCAGUGGAGCAUGUGGUUUAAUUCGACGAUACACGAAGAACCUUACCAGGACUUGACAUCUGUAGAAGUCUCUAGAAACAGAGAUGUGCCCGCAAGGGAGCUACAAGACAGGUGGUGCAUGGCUGUCGUCAGCUCGUGUCGUGAGAUGUUGGGUUAAGUCCCGCAACGAGCGCAACCCUCGUUCUGUGUUGCCAGCACAUCAUGGUGGGAACUCACAGAAGACUGCCUGUGUAAAGCAGGAGGAAGGUGGGGACGACGUCAAGUCAUCAUGCCCCUUACGUUCUGGGCUACACACAUGCUACAAUGGCCGGUACAAUGGGCAGCGAAAUCGCAAGGUGGAGCGAAUCUCAAAAAACCGGUCUUAGUUCGGAUUGUAGUCUGCAACUCGACUACAUGAAGUUGGAAUUGCUAGUAAACGCAGAUCAGCUAUGCUGCGUUGAAUACGUUCUCGGGCCUUGUACACACCGCCCGUCACACCAUGAGAGUUAGAAACACCCGAAGCUGACGUACCAACCGCUUGCGGAGGUAGUUAUCGAAGGUGGGUUUAGCGAUUGGGGUGAAGUCGUAACAAGGUA
RNAcentral lists this ribosomal RNA (1461 nucleotides) under metagenome. Its description in RNAcentral is "bacterial SSU rRNA". It matches the Rfam family "Bacterial small subunit ribosomal RNA". The record is from RNAcentral.